GACGAACGCUGGCGGCGUGCUUAACACAUGCAAGUCGAACGGAAAGGCCCUGCUUGCAGGGUACUCGAGUGGCGAACGGGUGAGUAACACGUGGGUGAUCUGCCCUGCACUUCGGGAUAAGCCUGGGAAACUGGGUCUAAUACCGGAUAGGAGCCAUUUUUAGUGUGAUGGUUGGAAAGUUUUUUCGGUGUAGGAUGAGCUCGCGGCCUAUCAGCUUGUUGGUGGGGUAAUGGCCUACCAAGGCGGCGACGGGUAGCCGGCCUGAGAGGGUGGACGGCCACAUUGGGACUGAGAGACGGCCCAGACUCCUACGGGAGGCAGCAGUGGGGAAUAUUGCACAAUGGGCGCAAGCCUGAUGCAGCGACGCCGCGUGGUGGAUGACGGCCUUCGGGUUGAAAACUCCUUUCGCUAGGGACGAAGCUUUUUGUGACGGUACCUAGAGAAGAAGCACCGGCUAACUACGUG
Molecule: ribosomal RNA, 465 nt
Filed under: uncultured bacterium
Lineage: Bacteria
Description: partial 16S ribosomal RNA
Rfam family: Bacterial small subunit ribosomal RNA
Source: RNAcentral